RNAcentral lists this ribosomal RNA (449 nucleotides) under uncultured bacterium. RNAcentral describes it as "SSU rRNA". It matches the Rfam family "Bacterial small subunit ribosomal RNA", at positions 26 to 518 of the family's 1533-position model. The record is from RNAcentral.
AGAGCGAACGCUGGCGGCAGGCCUAACACAUGCAAGUCGAGCGCCCGUAGCAAUACGGGAGCGGCAGACGGGAUAGUAACACGUGGGAACGCGCCCUUCGGUUCGGAAUAACUCAGGGAAACUUGAGCUAAUACCGGAUACGCCCUUACGGGGAAAGAUUUAUUGCCGAAGGAACGGCCCGCGUCCGAUUAGCUAGUUGGUGAGGUAAUGGCUCACCAAGGCGACGAUCGGUAGCUGGUCUGAGAGGAUGACCAGCAUCACUGGGACUGAGACACGGCCCAGACUCCUACGGGAGGCAGCAGUGGGGAAUAUUGGACAAUGGGCGCAAGCCUGAUCCAGCCAUGCCGCGUGGAUGAUGAAGGCCUUAGGGUUGUAAAGUCCGUUUUAACGGGGAAGAUAAUGACGGUACCCGUAGAAUAAGCCCCGGCUAACUUCGUGCCAGCAGCCGC